UACGAACUGUGCAAACGUUAUUCGGAAUCACUGGGCUUACAGGGUGCGUAGGCGGCCUGUUAAGUAGGGUGUGAAAGCCCCCGGCUCAACCGGGGAAUGGCGCCCUAAACUGGCGGGCUGGAGUGAGAUAGGGGUGUGCGGAACUUCCGGUGGAGCGGUGAAAUGUGUUGAUAUCGGAAGGAACGCCGGUGGCGAAAGCGUCACACUGGAUCUCAACUGACGCUGAGGCACGAAAGCCAGGGGAGCGAACGGG
Molecule: ribosomal RNA, 253 nt
Filed under: uncultured bacterium
Lineage: Bacteria
Description: partial 16S ribosomal RNA
Rfam family: Bacterial small subunit ribosomal RNA
Source: RNAcentral